UACGAGAGGCCCAAACGUUAUUCGGAUUUACUGGGCUUAAAGAGUUCGUAGGCGGCGCAGAAAGUAGGGUGUGAAAGCCCUCGGCUCAACCGAGGAAUUGCGCCCUAAACUACUGUGCUUGAGGAACCUAGAGGUGAGCAGAACAGAUGGUGGAGCGGUGAAAUGCGUUGAUAUCAUCUGGAAUACCGGAGGCGAAGGCGGCUCACUGGGGGUCUUCUGACGCUGAGGAACGAAAGCCAGGGGAGCGAACGGG
RNAcentral lists this ribosomal RNA (253 nucleotides) under uncultured bacterium. RNAcentral's name for it is "partial 16S ribosomal RNA". It matches the Rfam family "Bacterial small subunit ribosomal RNA", at positions 524 to 776 of the family's 1533-position model. The record is from RNAcentral.